This 152-nucleotide non-coding RNA is filed under the name Lotharella globosa. Lineage: Eukaryota; Cercozoa; Chlorarachniophyceae. The record is from RNAcentral.
UAAAAGGAAAAGACAAGCUCAAGUGCUGGAGAAAAAAAGAAAAGGAAAUCUCCAAGGGAAACAACAACAUGAAAAAAGACAACUAAAGAAAAAAACAAAAACAAAAAAAAAAAAACGAAGAAAAAGAAGAAAAGCUGUUUCUCGAAACCCCC